AUGAGGAGGUUUUUCAGGGUGGACAGAGAUGAAGAUUUCGGCCAGAUUCAGUAUCUCACCGCUAAAUGCAUCCGACUGUCUCAGGAGAAAGCAGUGCUGCAGCAGGAGCUGCUGGUGUCCGCUGAGCGUCAGCAGGCCCUGCAGGCUCAGAUGGAGGUUCUGGCGGUGUGUGUGCGUCAGAAAGAGCAGCUGAAUGUUGAGCUGAACAUCAAAUAUGAGCAACUUCAGGAGCGCUUCCAGCAGCAACUGAGGCAGGCAGAUGUCCUCCAGCAGUGUGUGUUGUCGGUGACGGAGGACAGGUGUAGGGAUGCGUCUCUUCUGGGUCUGCAGCUGGAGCAGGUGAGCUGUGACCUACAGCAGAUGCAGAGUUCAGAGGCGAAGCUGAUGGGCCUGGUGGACGAGCUGCACCAGGAGGCCCAGCUCAGAGCACAGCAGGCAGAGGUCCUGCAGGCGCAGCUCCACCAGGAGGCUCAGUCAAAGACGCAGACUAUAGAGGAGCUGGAGACGCAGCUGAACAGUAAAGCACGAGAGCUGGCGGAGCUGCAGAUUUCCCAUGAUGCCGUGCUGCAGGAUGUGUGUAUUCAGCGUGGCGCCCACCAGAGGACACUGGAGGAACUGCGGCGCACGGCGGAUCAGUGUGAGUGGGUGUGUGAGCAGCAGCGGCGCUGGAUGAGCUGCGUCAGGAGGUUUAAGGACUGUCUGUCAGGUGAGAAGGAGUCCCUGGAGCUGCAGGUGAACAGGUUACAGGUGGAGCUGGAGACGGUCAGGAGGAGCGAACACACUGAACACUGCAGCAGGUGGGAUGAGGAGCUGCAGACUGAAGCAGAGCGAUGGAGAACACUGUAUGAGGAUCUGCUGAAGCUCACCACACAGCAGGGCCAACAGGCAUCAGUUGGACACCUCAAACCCCCAUGAGGAUCGACACACACACACACAAACACACACACACACACACGCUCAGUUUUAAUGGGUAAAGUUUAGAAGGGAUACAGCUGCAGAUACUCGCAUCAUUCAUUCAUUUUCCUUCAGCUUAGUCCUUCAUUUAUCAGGGGUCGCCACAGCGAAAUGAGCCACCAACUACUCUGGCAUAUGUUUUACACAGUGGAUGCCCUUCCAGCUGCAACCCAGCACUGGGAGACACCCAUACACACUUAUAUACUAUGGCCAAUUUAGUUCAUCAAUUCCCCUAUCGCACCUGGAGGAAACCCAUGCCAACAUGGGGAGAACAUGCAAACUCCAAACAGGAACACCAACUGACCCAGCCGGGACUCAAACCAGCAACCUUCCAAGGCCACAAUGCUAACCACUGAGCCUACUUGCAUAAAUAUAGCAUCAUUUUUGUGACAUUGUACAACAAUUAUAUGUAUAUAUUUACAGUACUGUAAGGGUUGGGCUUAAGUUUGGGGUAGACCUUAAUAAAAUACUGUUUACUGGGUAAUUUAAUAAAUGAUACGAGUAUAUUACUGCUUUUACACUGUGAAGAUUGGGGUAGAUGUUAAUAAAAUGUAUUUAAUUCAAAUUUUAAGGGUAUUGUAAUACAUAAUCUAAACUAUAUGAUAACAAUAAUAUUAAUUCCUGCUUUUCUGGGCACUCAAAGCGCUUUACACACAUUGAGGGGAAUCUCCUCAUCCUCCACCAGUGUGCAGCAUCCACUUGGAUUAGGCGACGGCAGCCAUACUGCACCAGACUGCACACCAGCUGAUUGGUGGAGAGGAGACAGAGUGAUGAAGACAGUGAUGAUAUGGGGAUGGUCAGGAGGCCAUGAUGGACAGAGGACAGUGGGCAGAUUUGGCCAGGAUGCCAGGGUUAAACCCCUACUCUUUUUCCAAGGAUAUCCUGGGAUUUUUAACGAGCACAGAGAGUCGGGACCUCGGUUUAACAUCUCAUCCGAAAGACAGAAUGGUUCACUUGUAUCGCUUGUUGCAAAAAUGUUUUCAAUUAUUUUCUUAAAUUCAUGAAUGAAAAUAUACAAUUACAAUCAGGAGAUCAAUAUAAGAGAGAUACAAGAGAGGGAAAAUACAAGUGACAUUAACAGCAGGUAAUGUCACCUGUAAAUAAACAGGGGAAAAUAAACAGGGGGGCUAAUAAUUCUGACUUCAACUGUAAUAACAAAAAUCGGACACAUUUUUUGUUGUUGCACAUACAGAAGGAUUUAAGCAGUCAACUUCAAUCAGAAAAUGUGGAAAACAAAAAUUCCUAACAAAAUAAAAACGAUAAAGUCUUCAGAUUCAUGUGCAAAAUCUAUGUAAUAAUAAAUAAUUUAUUUUAAACUUAAAGAUAGGAGGAGUGUUUAAAUAAUAAUGCAAGUCAAACCAAAACUUCACACAUUCACACAUACAAAAUAAAAGUUUUACAGUUUCAUCAUCCUUACCACAAACUGGAGAACGACUCGGAAUAUCAACAUAUUUGUAAAUAAAUGAGAUUUUUAUUGCAGUAUUUUAAAAUGCCUUUAUUUUUAUUAGGAAGAAAGUAUUUAUAAGGCAACAACCAAGCUUUUCUCCAGUCUACAUUAUUAACUAAUGCAACCCAACAGAAUCUGCCUCACAGAACAAUACGAUGACUUUGCUGAGGAAUUAAAUGGAUCUGUUCAUUCAUUCAUUUCCUUUUCGAUUUAUUCCCUUAAUUAAUCAGGGGUCGCCACAGUGGAAUGAACCGCCAACUUAUCCAGCAUAUGUUUUACUCAGCGGAUGCCCUUCCAGCUGCAACCCAUUACUGGGAAACAUGCAUACAUUCUCAUUUACACACACACACACUCGUACACUACGGCCAGUUUAGUUGAUCAAUUCCCCUAAAGCGCAUGUGAUUGGACUGUGACCCAGCCGGGACUUGAAUCAGUGACCUUCUUGCUGAGAGGUGAUUGUGCUACCCACUGUGCCACCGUGAUGCAUAAAUGAUUAUGUUUAUUAUUUUAAUGUAUUGUAUAUGACUAUUGCCCAGAUGCAUUACACCAGUGGGGAUAUCUCUACGAACAGUAUUAGAAUCUCUGAAGUGAGUAGGAAAGUCACGAACAGUCAUAAAGCGUUCAUACCACAGUAAGUUCCCCAAAUCAUCAAGUACAGAAAAUAAUCACUUGUAACAGCAACUGCUGGCUGCUGGGAUUGACGUCAUUUUUGGAAGGCGCGUGCUGCUGGCUCUGACGUCACUCUCGGAACACGCGCGGGUUCUUUUAAACCGUCAUUUCUCUGUCGGAUUAUCAAACUUGCAUUCCAGUUUACUGCUGUUUGCACUGUUUCCCAGCGCGCGAUGGCGAAGACGAUUGCGAGAACUGCGAGGUCCAUCGCGGCCCAGAUAAACGAGUGCUGCUCCUACAUCCACAGCAAAUACCAGCAGCUGCAGGCCUUCCGCCGACAAGUCAAACGGAGGACCAGACCCAAGCACUGGGACUGGAUAGAAGACUUCGAGCUCGAGCACGAGCUGCGCUUCCCCACCCGCGGGCCCCGGAGCCUGCUGAAGCUGCGGAACCUGCAGCGCUUCCUGCGGGAAACCGAGCAGAACUGGUGGGACUUUCGGCCUCCGCGGGUGCCCGGGAGACCGCACCGCGUGUUGCGGAUAAACCUGCGGGACCGGCCGAUCAAAGCCCUGCUGAGCACCGAGCUUUUCCCUCCGAAGCCCGUAGACCGCACCGAGAGACACUACUGCCGGAAACUGCUGCUGAUGGAGCGGCCGCUGGAGAUCAGCUUACCGGCAGACGUACUGGAGGAGAUCCGUGCGCUGGAGCAUCUGGAGGAGGAGCAGGGGCUACCGCCACACCUGCACUGCUCAUCCGGUCAGGAGGACUAUUACUCCGCGGAUGAAGAGUGAACUUUAAUAAAGCAUGAAAACAUGUUCACAUGAGUUCAUGUGUCAGUCAUUUUCUUUUUAGCUUAGUCCCUUUAUUAAUCAAGGGUCACCACAGAGGAAUGAACCGCCAACUUAUCCAGCAUAUACUUUACGCAACGGAUGCCCUUCUAGCUGCAACCCAGUACUGGAAAACACCCACACACUCAUUUACACUCAUACACAGACAAUUUAGCUUACCCAAUUCCCUUUUAAUAUGUGUUUGUACUGCGGAGAAAACCCACACCAACACGGAGAACAUGCAAACUCCAUGUGGACUCAAACCAGCAACCUUCUUGCUGUGAGGUGAUUGGGCUACCCACUGCGCCACCAUGCUGCCCCUUCUAUAUGGUUAAAAUGUUCUUCAUUUAUUUACUUAUUGUCCUCCAUCCUUUAUUAGGAGUCACCACAGCGGAAUGAACUGCCAAAAUUCUGAAUAUUUUUCACUUUAGUUAAUAGUAAUAAUUAUAAUAAUAAUAGUAAUGUGUCCUCUGGUUCCUGAAGUGUACACAGUGUUAUCUGGG
This 4340-nucleotide long non-coding RNA is filed under the name Danio rerio (zebrafish). RNAcentral describes it as "lncRNA (ENSDARG00000117812.1)". The record is from RNAcentral. Lineage: Eukaryota; Metazoa; Chordata; Actinopteri; Cypriniformes; Danionidae.